GAUGAACGCUAGCGAUAGGCUUAACACAUGCAAGUCGAGGGGCAGCACAAGGUAGCUUGCUAUCUGGGUGGCGACCGGCGCACGGGUGCGUAACGCGUAUGCAACUUGCCCUAUACAGGAGGAUAACCCGUCGAAAGACGGACUAAUACUGCGUAUGCUCACAACUUGGCAUCAAGUGGUGAGGAAUGAAAUUCGGUAUAGGAUAGGCAUGCGUCCCAUUAGCUUGUUGGUGAGGUAACGGCUCACCAAGGCAACGAUGGGUAGGGGAACUGAGAGGUUUAUCCCCCACACUGGUACUGAGACACGGGCCAGACUCGUACGGGAGGCAGCAGUGAGGACUAUUGGUCAAUGGGCGCGAGCCUGAACCAGCCAAGUCGCGUGAAGGAGGACUGUCUUAUGGAUUGUAAACUUCUUUUAGACGGGAAUAACAAGAGUCACGUGUGACUCCCUGCAUGUACCGUAUGAAUAAGCAACGGCUAACUCCGUG
Molecule: ribosomal RNA, 487 nt
Filed under: uncultured bacterium
Lineage: Bacteria
Description: partial 16S ribosomal RNA
Rfam family: Bacterial small subunit ribosomal RNA
Source: RNAcentral